AUCUAUGGCCAUACCACUCUGAAUGUGCCCGAUCUCAUCUGAUCUCAGAAGCUAAGGAGGGUUGGGCUUGGUUAGUACUCUGAUGAGAGGGAAAAAAGGGGUGAGUAAAUA
RNAcentral lists this ribosomal RNA (111 nucleotides) under Macaca fascicularis (crab-eating macaque). The record is from RNAcentral. Lineage: Eukaryota; Metazoa; Chordata; Mammalia; Primates; Cercopithecidae. RNAcentral also lists the same sequence under 2 other names.